GCAAGACUUCGAGAUAAGUAGGAAGAGUAGCUGUUGUGGGAUUAGAGGAUUGAGUGUAGUUUCAGAGAAGCUGGAUAGGUCUGUUUUUUUCUUGGCCUAAUACCUCUUCCAGUCUAUGGCUCAUGCCUUAGUAAGGGGAGGGAGACUGCCAAGGGAUAAGAAAUUCAGGAUGCUGAGAAAUUGAGAGAAGGGAAUGAGAGUCAGUGAAGAGGUGAAAGGCACAGAAGUAAGAUCUCAAGAAAAUUUGGUCUUUUAUAAAUUUUUAAUUAAGGAGACUUUUGAAAAUCAUUAUAUAAACUUAAAAAAUAAAUAAAAUAACUUCUGUUUUUGGAAAGUUAAAAAAAAGGAGGAUUUUGGCAAAAUCACCACCUGCUUAUAAAUUUUAUCAAAGGCAUUUACAAUCACUUCUUAAGGUGAAUCCCCUAAAGUGAGAUUGAAUGUGUCAGAACAUAGUGAUUUUUUUCCUCAGGUUCUGUUCCAUUCUAAGUUACUGCAGUUCCCUCUACUAUACAUUUUUUUAUUUAUUCAAAUAUAGUAGUGUGUAUCUGUUGUUUAUUUAUUCAAGUAUAGUAGUAUAUAUUUGUUAAUUCCAAAUUCCAACUGUUUCCUCCUCUACUCUUGCUCCUUUGGUAACCAUAAGUUUGUUUUCUAUGUCUGUGAGUCUACUUCUGUUGUGUAGAUAAGUUCAUUUGUAUUACUUUUUUAGAUUCCACAUGUGCGAUGAUAUUUUCUUUCUCUUCUGAUUGACUUCAUUCUGUAUGAUAAUCACUAGGUCCAUCCUUGUUACUGCAAAUGGCAUUGUUUUAUUCUUUUUUAUGGCACACACACACACACUACAUAUUUUGUAUUCAUUUAUCUGUCAGUGGACAUUUAGGUUGCUUCCUAUCUUGGCUAUUAUAAAUAGUUUUAUCUGGGUAUACAGCCAGGAAUGGGAUUGCUGGAUCAUAUGGUAAACAUAUUUUUAGGUUUUAAAGGAACUUCCAUACUGUUCUCCAUAGUGGCUGCACCAAUUUACAUUCCUAUCAACAAUGUAGGAAGGUUCUUUUUUCUCCGCAUCCUCUCUAGCAUUAUUAUUUGUAGACUUUUUGAUGAUGGUCAUUUCUAACUGUUGUAAGGUGAUAGUGUAUUAUAGUUUUGAUUUGCAUUUCUCUAAUACUUAGUGAUGCUGAGCAUGUUUUCAUGUGCCUUUUGGCCAUCUGUAUAUCUUCUUUGGAGAAAUGUGUAUUCAGAUCUUCCACCAAUUUUUUGAUUGGGUUUUUUUUUUUAUACUGAGCAGUAUGAGUUGUUUAUAUAUUUUGUAUAGUAAUCUCUUGUUAGUCGCUUCAUUUUCAAAUAUUUUCUUCCAGUCUGCAGGUUGUCUUUUCAUUCUAUUUAUGAUUUCCUUUGCUGUGAGAAAGUUUUUACCUUUAAUUAUGUUCCAUUUAUUUAUUUUUCUUUUUGUUUCCACUACUCUAAGAGAUGGAUUCCCACCCCCAAAUUAUUGCUACAAUUUAUGUCAAAGAGUGUCCUGCCUGUUUUCCUCUAGGAGUUUUAUGAUUUCUGGUCUUCCAUUUAGGUCUUUAAUCCAUUUUGAGUUUAUUUUUGUAUAUGAUGUUAGAGUAUGUUCCAUUUCAUUCUUUUACAUGUAGCUGUCCAUUUUUCCCAGGACCAGUUAUUGAAGAAAUUGUCUUUUCUCCAUUGUAUAUUCUUGCCUCGUUUGUUGUAGCUUAAUUGACUGUAAGUGUUUGGAUUUGUUUCUGGAUUUUUUAUCCUGUUCCAUUGAUCUACGUGUCAGGUUUUUUUGGUUUUGUUUUUUUGUUUUGGCCAUGACAUGUAGAAGUUCCUGUGCCAAGGAUCUAACCCAUGCCAAAGCAGUGGCCCCAGCUUCUGCAGUGAUAAUGCUGAAUCCUUAACCCAGUAUGCCACAAGGGAACUCCUCCUUGUGUAUGUUUUUUUGUGCCAGUACCAUACUGUUUUGAUUAUUGCAGCUGUGUAGUAUAGUCUGAAAACAAGAAGUGUGAUUCCUCCAGUUCCAUUCUUUCUCAAGAUUGUUUUGGCUAUUUGGUUUUUUUUGGUGUGUGUUUACAUACAAACUUUAAAAUUUCUUGUUCCAGUAUGCAGAAAAUAACAUUGGUAAUUUGAUAGGGAUUGCAUUGAAUCUGUAGAUUGUCUUAGCACCAAAAA
Molecule: long non-coding RNA, 2163 nt
Filed under: Sus scrofa (pig)
Lineage: Eukaryota; Metazoa; Chordata; Mammalia; Artiodactyla; Suidae
Description: lncRNA (ENSSSCG00060058062.1)
Source: RNAcentral